This 425-nucleotide ribosomal RNA is filed under the name uncultured bacterium. RNAcentral's name for it is "partial 16S ribosomal RNA". It matches the Rfam family "Bacterial small subunit ribosomal RNA", at positions 354 to 796 of the family's 1533-position model. The record is from RNAcentral.
GUGGGGAAUAUUGGGCAAUGGGGGAAACCCUGACCCAGCAACGCCGCGUGAAGGAAGAAGGUUUUCGGAUCGUAAACUUCUAUCCUUGGUGAAGAUAAUGACGGUAGCCAAGAAGGAAGCCCCGGCUAACUACGUGCCAGCAGCCGCGGUAAUACGUAGGGGGCAAGCGUUGUCCGGAAUGAUUGGGCGUAAAGGGCGCGUAGGCGGCCCGGUAAGUCGGAAGUGAAAGUCCUGCUUUUAAGGUGGGAAUUGCUUUGGAUACUGUCGGGCUUGAGUGCAGGAGAGGUAAGCGGAAUUCCCGGUGUAGCGGUGAAAUGCGUAGAGAUCGGGAGGAACACCAGUGGCGAAGGCGGCUUACUGGACUGUAACUGACGCUGAGGCGCGAAAGUGUGGGGAGCAAACAGGAUUAGAUACCCGUGUAGUCC